This is a transfer RNA of Thalassiosira oceanica, 74 nucleotides long. It matches the Rfam family "tRNA". From Rfam's summary of the family: Transfer RNA (tRNA) molecules are approximately 80 nucleotides in length. Lineage: Eukaryota; Bacillariophyta; Thalassiosirophyceae; Thalassiosirales; Thalassiosiraceae. The record is from Rfam.
GCCUGUGUAGCUCAGUUGGUUAGAGCAUGUCAUUAGUAAUGACAAGGUCGGUAGUUCGAAUCUGCUCUCAGGCU